UCUCUUCCUGUGUGCCAAUAUCAUUUG
This 27-nucleotide small RNA is filed under the name Bombyx mori (domestic silkworm). RNAcentral's name for it is "ovarian small RNA-29875". The record is from RNAcentral. Lineage: Eukaryota; Metazoa; Arthropoda; Insecta; Lepidoptera; Bombycidae.